RNAcentral lists this ribosomal RNA (210 nucleotides) under uncultured Glomus. RNAcentral describes it as "partial small subunit ribosomal RNA". It matches the Rfam family "Eukaryotic small subunit ribosomal RNA", at positions 591 to 807 of the family's 1831-position model. The record is from RNAcentral. Lineage: Eukaryota; Fungi; Glomeromycota; Glomeromycetes; Glomerales; Glomeraceae.
CCAAUAGCGUAUAUUAAAGUUGUUGCAGUUAAAAAGCUCGUAGUUGAAUUUCGGGAUCAAUAUGUCGGUCGUGCCUUGGUACGUACUGGUAUCAUUGGUUUCUCCUUUCUGACGAACCAUGAUGUCAUUAAUUUGGUGUUAUGGGAAGUUAGGACUGUUACUUUGAAAAAAUUAGAGUGUUUAAAGCAGGCUUUAGCUUGAAUACAUUAG